Molecule: long non-coding RNA, 790 nt
Organism: Magnolia sinica
Lineage: Eukaryota; Viridiplantae; Streptophyta; Magnoliopsida; Magnoliales; Magnoliaceae
Exons: 3
Source: RefSeq, a predicted model, not a curated record
UUCUCAUCUUUUCUUUUUUCCUUUUUUAUUUUCUUUUUCUUUGGUAAUUUCCCUUGACUGUUUUUUUUUGAUAAUCUUGUAAUUUGAGAAUUUAGAAUAGCUAGAAGCCUUUUAAAAGUCAAAAUCAGAAAAGGCUUUGGAGGGAAAGGAAGUGUAAGUAAUAGAAGCAUUGAUUAGACAUUGUGUUUUUGUCAUUCUCUGUUUGCACUGUCUUGAUAAGUAGAACUUUUGAAAAGAUCCCCUGACACAUAAUUGCUGACAAUGCAUCCUUAUAUAUAUAUUUUUAUUUUUGUUAUCAAGUACCUUAUAAUUUUGUUAUAUGCUUGCACAGGUGAUUAUCCUACAAAUGUUAAUAAGCUCUGUUUUAUAGUUUUGUUAUUUGAAUCACCAUUCCCAUUUUCUGUGAAAGUGAUUAAUGCUUAUCCAUUACAUUUAUUUCUCAAAUUGGAUUGGCGAUGUCUCCAUUGAGCAACAACUCCUUGUUUCUGGAAUAUAGUUUUGCCGCACAGGUAUGGAAGCUCACUGCUUGUGAUCCCUGUGAGAUAGCAAGAAAUUCAGCUCAUCAAUCUGGAUUUUCCCAUGCAGCAAAGGAGAUUGUCAAUAUUUCUCUUUUAUGCGCAAUUUAAGUCUGGAAUUCAUCUGCUGACCCAUUCAUAUAUGCUUGUUCAAGACAUACGCAUGUGGCUGGGGCACUGAAAGUACCACUUCACAUAUUCUUUACUAUGCCUUGAACGUAAGUCUUAUUGUUUGAGUAGAAAUCAAAUACUCUUAAAAUUAUCAGAGUCACCAC